GUAGGUGGCAAGCGUUGUCCGGAAUUAUUGGGGCGUAAAGCGCGCGCAGGCGGUUCUUUAAGUCUGAUGUGAAAGCCCACGGCUCAACCGUGGAGGGUCAUUGGAAACUGGAGAACUUGAGUACAGAAGAGGAAAGCGGAAUUCCACGUGUAGCGGUGAAAUGCGUAGAGAUGUGGAGGAACACCAGUGGCGAAGGCGGCUUUCUGGUCUGUAACUGACGCUGAGGCGCGAAAGCGUGGGGAGCAAACAGGGAUUAGAUACCCUGGUAGUCCACGCCGUAAACGAUGAGUGCUAAGUGUUAGGGGGUUUCCCGCCCCUUAGUGCUGCAGCUAACGCAUUAAGCACUCCGCCUGGGGAGUACGGCCGCAAGGCUG
RNAcentral lists this ribosomal RNA (374 nucleotides) under uncultured organism. Its description in RNAcentral is "partial 16S ribosomal RNA". It matches the Rfam family "Bacterial small subunit ribosomal RNA", at positions 527 to 896 of the family's 1533-position model. The record is from RNAcentral.